GGGGGAAUUUUGGACAAUGGGCGCAAGCCUGAUCCAGCAAUGCCGCGUGAGUGAAGAAGGCCUUCGGGUUGUAAAGCUCUUUUGUCAGGGAAGAAACGGCGCCGGCUAAUAUCCGGCGCUAAUGACGGUACCUGAAGAAUAAGCACCGGCUAACUACGUGCCAGCAGCCGCGGUAAUACGUAGGGUGCAAGCGUUAAUCGGAAUUACUGGGCGUAAAGCGUGCGCAGGCGGUUUUGUAAGUCUGUCGUGAAAUCCCCGGGCUUAACCUGGGAAUUGCGAUGGAGACUGCAAGGCUAGAAUCUGGCAGAGGGGGGGUAGAAUUCCACGUGUAAGCAGUGAGAUGCCUAGAAGAUGUGGAGGAACACCGAUGGCGAAGGCAGCCCCCUGGGUCAAGAUUGACGCUCAUGCACGAAAAGCGUGGGGAGCAAACAGGAUUAGAUACCCUGGGGAGUCCACGCCCUAAACGAUGUCUACUAAAUUGUCNGGNCUUUAANUGGCNUNGGAACCCCACUUUUCCCGGNGAAAAUNAAACCCCUGUGGGAG
RNAcentral lists this ribosomal RNA (543 nucleotides) under uncultured bacterium M4. RNAcentral describes it as "bacterial SSU rRNA". It matches the Rfam family "Bacterial small subunit ribosomal RNA", at positions 355 to 1533 of the family's 1533-position model. The record is from RNAcentral.